This 117-nucleotide ribosomal RNA is filed under the name Lepisosteus oculatus (spotted gar). The record is from RNAcentral. Lineage: Eukaryota; Metazoa; Chordata; Actinopteri; Semionotiformes; Lepisosteidae.
UACAGCAGCCAUAUCACCCUGCAGCUCUCAACUGGCAGCCCACUGAAGCUACGCAGGGUUGAGCCUGGUCAGUACCUGGAGGGGAGACCUCCUGGGAAGCUAUGGUUGCUGCUGGAA